Molecule: ribosomal RNA, 426 nt
Filed under: uncultured bacterium
Lineage: Bacteria
Description: bacterial SSU rRNA
Rfam family: Bacterial small subunit ribosomal RNA
Source: RNAcentral
UGGGGAAUAUUGGACAAUGGGCGAAAGCCUGAUCCAGCAAUGCCGCGUGUGUGAAGAAGGCCUUCGGGUUGUAAAGCACUUUUAUCAGGAACGAAAUCGGCAAGGUUAAUAACCGUGUCGUCUGACGGUACCUGAGGAAUAAGCACCGGCUAACUUCGUGCCAGCAGCCGCGGUAAUACGAAGGGUGCAAGCGUUAAUCGGAAUUACUGGGCGUAAAGGGUGCGUAGGCGGUUAGUUAAGUCUGUUGUGAAAUCCCCGGGCUCAACCUGGGAAUGGCAAUGGAUACUGGCUGGCUAGAGUGUGUCAGAGGAUGGUGGAAUUCCCGGUGUAGCGGUGAAAUGCGUAGAGAUCGGGAGGAACAUCAGUGGCGAAGGCGGCCAUCUGGGACAACACUGACGCUGAAGCACGAAAGCGUGGGGAGCAAAC